GCAGGUAUAGCUCAGUGGUAGAAUGUGUGCUCAGCUCAGCAUGCAUGAGGUCCUGGGUUCAAUCCCCAGUACCUCCA
Molecule: transfer RNA, 77 nt
Filed under: Camelus bactrianus (Bactrian camel)
Lineage: Eukaryota; Metazoa; Chordata; Mammalia; Artiodactyla; Camelidae
Also listed under: 2 other names
Rfam family: tRNA
About the family: Transfer RNA (tRNA) molecules are approximately 80 nucleotides in length. Their secondary structure includes four short double-helical elements and three loops (D, anti-codon, and T loops). Further hydrogen bonds mediate the characteristic L-shaped molecular structure. tRNAs have two regions of fundamental functional importance: the anti-codon, which is responsible for specific mRNA codon recognition, and the 3' end, to which the tRNAs corresponding amino acid is attached (by aminoacyl-tRNA synthetases). tRNAs cope with the degeneracy of the genetic code in two manners: having more than one tRNA (with a specific anti-codon) for a particular amino acid; and 'wobble' base-pairing, i.e. permitting non-standard base-pairing at the 3rd anti-codon position.
Source: Rfam by way of RNAcentral